GGGAACGUGCCCUUCGGUUCGGAAUAACUCAGGGAAACUUGAGCUAAUACCGGAUACGCCCUUUUGGGGAAAGGUUUACUGCCGAAGGAUCGGCCCGCGUCUGAUUAGCUUGUUGGUGGGGUAACGGCCUACCAAGGCGACGAUCAGUAGCUGGUCUGAGAGGAUGAUCGGCCACACUGGGACUGAGACACGGCCCAGACUCCUACGGGAGGCAGCAGUGGGGAAUAUUGGACAAUGGGCGCAAGCCUGAUCCAGCCAUGCCGCGUGAGUGAUGAAGGCCUUAGGGUUGUAAAGCUCUUUUGUCCGGGACGAUAAUGACGGUACCGGGAGAAUAAGCCCCGGCUAACUUCGUGCCAGCAGCCGCGGUAAUACGAAGGGGGCUAGCGUUGCUCGGAAUCACUGGGCGUAAAGGGCGCGUAGGCGGCCGAUUAAGUCGGGGGUGAAAGCCUGUGGCUCAACCACAGAAUUGCCUUCGAUACUGGUUGGCUUGAGACCGGAAGAGGACAGCGGAACUGCGAGU
Molecule: ribosomal RNA, 520 nt
Filed under: uncultured bacterium
Lineage: Bacteria
Description: bacterial SSU rRNA
Rfam family: Bacterial small subunit ribosomal RNA
Source: RNAcentral